UAAAAUGUACUCUUUAGAGGAACUGGCCUU
This 30-nucleotide non-coding RNA is filed under the name Rattus norvegicus (Norway rat). The record is from RNAcentral. Lineage: Eukaryota; Metazoa; Chordata; Mammalia; Rodentia; Muridae.